CCUACGGGGGGCUGCAGUGGGGAAUAUUGCACAAUGGGCGCAAGCCUGAUGCAGCCAUGCCGCGUGUGUGAAGAAGGCCCUCGGGUUGUAAAGCACUUUCAGCGGGGAGGAAGGCGGUGAGGUUAAUAACCUCAUCGAUUGACGUUACCCGCAGAAGAAGCACCGGCUAACUCCGUGCCAGCAGCCGCGGUAAUACGGAGGGUGCAAGCGUUAAUCGGAAUUACUGGGCGUAAAGCGCACGCAGGCGGUCUGUCAAGUCGGAUGUGAAAUCCCCGGGCUCAACCUGGGAACUGCAUUCGAAACUGGCAGGCUAGAGUCUUGUAGAGGGGGGUAGAAUUCCAGGUGUAGCGGUGAAAUGCGUAGAGAUCUGGAGGAAUACCGGUGGCGAAGGCGGCCCCCUGGACAAAGACUGACGCUCAGGUGCGAAAGCGUGGGGAGCAAACAGGAUUAGAUACCCCAGUAGUC
This 465-nucleotide ribosomal RNA is filed under the name uncultured Klebsiella sp. RNAcentral's name for it is "bacterial SSU rRNA". It matches the Rfam family "Bacterial small subunit ribosomal RNA", at positions 338 to 795 of the family's 1533-position model. The record is from RNAcentral. Lineage: Bacteria; Pseudomonadati; Pseudomonadota; Gammaproteobacteria; Enterobacterales; Enterobacteriaceae.